CCUACGGGUGGCAGCAGUAGGGAAUAUUGCGCAAUGGGCGAAACCCUUACGCAGCAACGCCGCGUGGAGGAUUAAGGUUUUCGGAUUGUAAACUCCUUUUGUUAGAGACGAUCGUGACGGUAUCUAACGAAUAAGCACCUGCUAACUCCGUGCCAGCAGCCGCGGUAAUACGGAGGGUGCAAGCGGUACUCGGAAUCACUGGUCGUAAAGAGCGCGUAGGCGGGAUAGCAAGUCAGAUGUGAAAUCCUAUGGCUUAACCAUAGAACUGCAUUUGAAACUGGUAAUCUAGAGUAUGGGAGAGGUAGGUGGAAUUCUUGGUGUAGGGGUAAAAUCCGUAGAGAUCAAGAGGAAUACUCAUUGCGAAGGCGACCUGCUAGAACAUAACUGACGCUGAUGCGCGAAAGCGUGGGGAGCAAACAGGAUUAGAUACCCGUGUAGUC
This 440-nucleotide ribosomal RNA is filed under the name uncultured bacterium. Its description in RNAcentral is "partial 16S ribosomal RNA". It matches the Rfam family "Bacterial small subunit ribosomal RNA", at positions 338 to 795 of the family's 1533-position model. The record is from RNAcentral.